Molecule: long non-coding RNA, 3221 nt
Filed under: Nicotiana tabacum (common tobacco)
Lineage: Eukaryota; Viridiplantae; Streptophyta; Magnoliopsida; Solanales; Solanaceae
Description: long non-coding RNA (NTAB_LNC006337)
Source: RNAcentral
GUCUUGGGAAUCCUUGAUUAACAGGUGGGGGAUUUGUACUGUCUAUUGCUGGUCGUAGAUAAGGGCGCAUCAUCUGGUUUGGAGGUGAAAAUUCCUGAGAACCAAAUUGACCAGCUGGCCUGGAAACAACUUGAGAGGCUGGAUUCUGUGGAUGGUGAGGCUGGAAUGUAAAAUCAAUACUGGUCUGCAGUGGUUUUGGAGUUCCAGAGGAAGGAGGUCUCAUAGAAUUAAUAUUAAGAGAACUUCCAGGAGUUGGAUUAGGUGAGAGAUUAUGCAUGACUGGUUGUCCGCUAGAUACAGGGUGGUUCAAGAAAUGAGCAGGGGUAGAUCCUGAAGAUGGAUGCAUUGGAGGAGGCAUACGUGUUUGAGAUUGAAAAACAGAAUUAGUAGAUGGAGUUGGUCCAGAUGACUGGGGUGCUAAAUUAUGGCCACGCGAAACAUCUAUAUGUGGACCUGUAGAGACACCCAUUGGUCGUGAAGAAAGAUGAUGACUUCCUUGACCUGUCUGGGUGUUCCAUGGUGACUGUGACCAUCCAGGAGAGCUCCCGCCUGGGGUCAAUGGCCGGUCUGAGUAUGCCAUAGGAGGGAUAGACUGAGGCGUUGAAGACAUAACAGAUCUCAACCCCUGUGGAAACCCUGUUGGAUUCGGUUGGCUCUGAGAAAAUUGAGGUGGAGUCAUAUUGGAUUGAGUUGGUGUGGACCCUAAAGAUGGCAUCGGAUGUCUAGGUCCACCAAUUUGUCCGAGGUGAGUGGAAGGCAUGAAAGGCUGCCGCAUUAGUGGUGGUGCCUGUGGGCUAGAGUUAACAAAAGGGUUUCGCGGAACUGAACCAAAUCCAUCUGCCAUACCCUGUGGUGGGCCAAAGGGUGAGGGUGCAUUUGACGGGUUGGUAGGUAAUGGAGAUACUUGGUGAGGGUUGCUGACCAGGGAUGCUGAAGAACUCCAGGAGUUAAUGGGUCCUGGAAAUGGAGUUACUGGAUUCUGAGAUGCAGGUUCAGGAAACCAUUGUCCUUGAUAUGGCUGAAAAUGACCUUGUAAUUGAGUAGGUUGCAUCCCCACAACUGGUUGAGCCACCCCUUGAUUUACUACAGGAGGCGUCGUUGGGCCAGGUGUUGCUUCACCGGAAAUAGUUUCUCCAUCACCUGACGUUUUUGUGGUAGUCGACGCUGGAGUCACCUGAGAGCCAAAUGGAACACUCAACUUUAUGACACAACCAAAACGAAGUUUCAAGAAAAACGUUAUUGCACGGAAAAAGGAAAAAAGCUGAAUUGCCACACUGACAUUGACAAUAAUACCGAGUAAAACACAUCAUACUUCUGUUUAGUGUUUACUUACUGAAGCUGGGGUAACCAGAAGUUCAAUUAAAGCAACUGCAGCGUCAACCUUUUCAUAUGUCUCAGCUGAUACUUGGACAUACAUUUCCUCAUAAGCACCAGAGUCAUUUUCACCAGAAGUAGCUUCUAUCUGGGACAGAUGUAACACAAAGGUUAAAUUUCAAGAUAUCAAGUUGAAUAAUAGGAACUUGCCGUUGCCGCUCGUAUAUGAGACUUGAUGGUCCGAAAACGACGAUAGAUUGCAUACUGGAAGCCAGUACGACAUAGAUUUUAUAAAGCUCCUGUUCAGAGGUGUUCAAAUGCCCAUCUAAACAUCUAUUUGAAGAAUUACCUAGUCUAAGCUAGCGUUUGGACAUAGAUUUGAUUGAAACUUGAAAAAAGAGUUUUUGAAGUUAUGCUGAAAAAUAAUUUUUGAAAGUUGAAGUUGUGUUUGGACAUGCAUUUUAUUUGAUGAAAAGUUGAAGUUUUGUGAGUGGAAGAAAAAAUUUCACCCAAAAACUGCCCUAAACCAGUUUUGGGAACUUGAAAUUUCUGAAUUUUUCCCCCAAAACAUGAUCAUAUUUCAUAAACAAACAAUGUUUUCAAAAAAAAUGAAAAAAUAAAGCCAAAAUCUAUGGCCAAACGGGAGCUAAAAUAUAAAUGACGGAUUGAAUUGGGGGCAUUACCUUCUCUCCAGUAUCUGAUUUGGUACCAUAAACCUUUACUUGAGCUCCAGUUUCCUGGUUUUCAGUAAUAAAAAACACUCAAUGACCAGGAACUCUUUUGACUACUGUGCGAUCUACUCAAUAAGUAGAACUUCAAGGUCUUGGAUGCUAGAAAUUAAUUACCUUUUCCAGUUGCUUAUGAGCAGGGCCAAAAAUCAAACCUAUAAAAUUGUACCCAGGAUGUUCUUUGAUCUGCAUUGAAAACAUGUAGAGAUGCCUCAUGAAGAUCUACCACUUCACCUUUAAUGAGAAUUAUGCUUAGUCUUACAGGAAUCUAAUUUCAUGUCUCUUGAUUAAUAUGCUUUCGAAUUCCCAUACUUGUAUCAUACAGCUUGACCUUAAAUAAGUUAAUACAUCAAUAAAGCAAAGCUUAGCUCUUGGCAAUCAGUCUAAACUAAAAGAUACGACAAUCAAAAAGGUGUACAUCUGCCUCUUCAUAUUUAAGCUGCUCCUUUUUGUUGUGGAAGCAAGAGUUGGGGCAAGGAGACAGAAAACAAUUUCUCCAUUAAUCACCCACAGUGCAUAGUUUUUCUUGUUUUGCAUGGCAAGCAAUCAUGCUUAUCGAUAUCAACGCAUUUUCAAAUCUUAUAAGAUUUUAGUAGUAGUUACUACUUACUAGAGUAGUAAUUUUAAGCCGAGAAGUGUAGUCUAAUAAAAUACAGAGAUCCUUAAAGUUGCUGCAGUUAAUAAGAAUUCGAAAAAUUAAGAAUCAACUCACAGAACCAAAAUGGAAGCUACUAUAAGGAGAAAAUAAAAAAGAAAAAAGAAAAAACACAAAGUGCCAGAAACUGCAUUAAACUUACAGGUAAUGGGAUCUUUGCCUCCUUGGGUACAGGCUUAUAACCAGCAGGUGGCUUAUAGCUGGGAUUCAGUUUUAGAAUCUCCCCUGAAAAUGUAUAAAAACAGGUAAUUUGUAUGGUAUACUUGAUAAUGGAAGAGUAAAAGUCAGUGACUCAAGGGAUCAAUCACAACAUACCAAUGGCUUCCCGUCUUUCAAGUUCCAGUGAACACACACUCUACAUCCACAGAAGACAUCAGCUUUUGAAGCUAACCCAAGCAAAAUUUGCAACUAAAAAAUCUUAUAAAUUAUUUUACCUCAUCAUCAGGUUGAUGAUCCGAAGACUCAUGAUCGUUAGCAGGGGAGGCUGACAAUGCGUCCUUGCUGCCUUCACCCUCCAAUGUCCU